This 253-nucleotide ribosomal RNA is filed under the name uncultured bacterium. RNAcentral's name for it is "partial 16S ribosomal RNA". It matches the Rfam family "Bacterial small subunit ribosomal RNA", at positions 524 to 776 of the family's 1533-position model. The record is from RNAcentral.
UACGUAGGCAGCGAGCGUUGUUCGGAGUUACUGGGCGUAAAGGGUGCGUAGGCGGUCGUUUAAGUUUGGUGUGAAAUCUCCCGGCUCAACUGGGAGGGUGCGCCGAAUACUGAAUGACUAGAGUGCGGGAGAGGAUAGUGGAAUUCCUGGUGUAGCGGUGAAAUGCGUAGAUAUCAGGAGGAACACCGGUGGUGUAGACGGCUAUCUGGACCGUAACUGACGCUGAGGCACGAAAGCGUGGGUAGCAAACAGG